This 274-nucleotide ribosomal RNA is filed under the name uncultured bacterium. RNAcentral describes it as "partial 16S ribosomal RNA". It matches the Rfam family "Bacterial small subunit ribosomal RNA", at positions 523 to 796 of the family's 1533-position model. The record is from RNAcentral.
AUACGGAGGGUCCAAGCGUUAUCCGGAUUCAUUGGGUUUAAAGGGUCCGCAGGCGGGAAAAUAAGUCAGUGGUGAAAGCCUACAGCUCAACUGUAGAACUGCCAUUGAUACUGUUUUUCUUGAGGAUAGAUGAAGUGGGCGGAAUAUAUCAUGUAGCGGUGAAAUGCAUAGGUAUGAUAUAGAACACCGAUUGCGAAGGCAGCUCACUAAACUAUUACUGACGCUCAGGGACGAAAGCGUGGGGAGCGAACAGGAUUAGAUACCCUAGUAGUCC